Molecule: non-coding RNA, 232 nt
Organism: Malus domestica (apple)
Lineage: Eukaryota; Viridiplantae; Streptophyta; Magnoliopsida; Rosales; Rosaceae
Source: RefSeq, a predicted model, not a curated record
UUGCAAUUUGUCGCUUUGGUUGAAGGUUGCUUUCUUGACAGUCAAGAGUAAUGGAGGGAAACUUUAGGUGCUUCCUUGAAUGACUGAUUUUUUUUCUAUGUAGAGACAACAGUUCUAUGAUUGUUUGUAUGUGGACUGUAUCGAUUAAAUCUUUUGUUUGUUAAAAUCUUCUAACAUUUUUAAUGUAAGUAAUAUUAAUCGUCUAUGACAUAAUUUUCCUUACAAUUUCUAA